AGCCGUUGUCCGGAUUUAUUGGGCGUAAAGCGCGCGCAGGCGGUCUUUUAAGUCUGAUGUGAAAGCCCCCGGCCUCACCCGGGGAGGGUCCAUUGGGAAACUGGAAGACUGGCAGUCCAGAAGAGGAGAGUGGAAUUCCCACGUGUAGCGGUGAAAUGCGUAGAUAUGUGGAGGAACACCAGUGGCGAAGGCGACUCUCUGGUCUGUAACACACGCUGAGGCGCCAAAGCGUGGGGAGCAAACAGGAUUAGAUACCCUGGUAGUCCACGCCGUAAACGAUGAGUGCUAAGUGUCAGGGGGUUUCCGCCCCUUAGUGCUGCAGCUACCGCAUUAAGCACUCCGCCUGGGGUGUACGACCGCAAGGUUGAAACUCAAAGGAAUUGACGGGGGCCCGCACAAGCGGUGGAGCAUGUGGUUUAAUUCCAAGCAACGCGAAGACCCUUUCCAGGUCUUGACAUCCUUUGACCACUCUGGAGACAGAGCUUUCCCUUCGGGGACAAAGUGACAGGUGGUGCAUGGUUGUCGUCAGCUCGUGUCGUGAGAUGUUGGGUUAAGUCCCGCAACGAGCGCAACCCUUGAUUUUAGUUGCCAGCAUUUAGUUGGGCACUCUAAAGUGACUGCCGGUGCAAGCCGGAGGAAGGUGGGGAUGACGUCAAAUCAUCAUGCCCCUUAUGACCUGGGCUACACACGUGCUACAAUGGAUAGUACAAAGGGUCGCGAAGCCGCGAGGUGGAGCUAAUCCCAUAAAACUAUUCUCAGUUCGGAUUGUAGGCUGCUACUCGCCUACAUGAAGCCGGAAUCGCUAGUAAUCGUGGAUCAGCAUGCCACGGUGAAUACGUUCCCGGGCCUUGUACACACUGCCCGUCACACCACGAGAGUUUGUAACACCCGAAG
Molecule: ribosomal RNA, 894 nt
Filed under: Listeria monocytogenes
Lineage: Bacteria; Bacillati; Bacillota; Bacilli; Caryophanales; Listeriaceae
Description: bacterial SSU rRNA
Rfam family: Bacterial small subunit ribosomal RNA
Source: RNAcentral